Felis catus (domestic cat) is the source of this 1692-nucleotide long non-coding RNA. RefSeq lists it as uncharacterized. The record is from RefSeq and is a predicted model, not a curated record. The transcript is spliced from 4 exons. Lineage: Eukaryota; Metazoa; Chordata; Mammalia; Carnivora; Felidae.
CCUUGAGGGGCACGAGAAGCCACUUUUAGCCCUUGGUAGGUCUACGUCUACACCACAAGUGCCCGGUCUCGGGGAGUAACCCAAAUAAAACAGCUCGAAAGCUCCUCCAGACCCCUAGAGUGUUUCUCAAGCCUUUGAGCCAAACCAGGAAGUUGUUUUCUCCUCCCGGUUCCCCCCCCGACCCCGCCUUUGAUUUCCCUGUGGCCUUUAGACAGGCGUCCGGCUGGCUGCCCUAGAUAAGGGAACUGAGUUGUCACUGCUCCCCAGUGAUACUAGGUGGGGUGGCAGGAGGGCUCUUCUGAGCAGGUAACAGCCAGCAGCGGAGGAGAAAGGGUCCUGUGGUAGCUCGAUGUCCGGACCCCAGGGCCCGGCGCUCCCCUGCAGCGGCUCAUCCACAGCAGCAGAAACCACCGGGCAUCUAGAACGCUCGGGGAGAACCACAGUGAGUGGCAUGUGCUUGGAUUCUCCUUGUCAUUGUUGAGAGACACUGAGCUGUGGCUGAGGGAGGAGGGGGUCCCGAGAGAGAACUUGGGGGACAAAGGGAGCCAUGGAGGGGUGUCACUUGGGGCAGGGAAGGGCGUUUCUGCCGAGAUGCUCAGUACCAGUGGGUGUGGGGCCGCUGUGGGAUUUGAGGAAAACUGACAGUGGGGAAAACCCGGAGUUAGGCAAGCCGUGAGGUGCUGACCCUGCUCUGAGAAGAUGCCAGGAAAUUCCACGGAAGCAAUGCCAAGUCUGGGCUACAGGGGCGGCGAGGGAACGUGCUACCACCUGACUGAGGCAGGGGUGGGGUGAGAGUUCUGAGGCCAGAGAGGAAGGAGGCCGGGAAGAUUCCAGAUUUGGGAGAGUGGGAGGAAUUAGCGGGCGGGGGGGGGGCUGCAUGGGGGUGGCUUGGAAGAAAGGUGGAUGGAGAGGAGGAACGUGAACCAGCUGGCAAGUCCGUAUGAACUUCCUCCGGAUCAAGUCCCUGUACCUGUGAUUGACCUAAUUUGGGGACCAGACCUACACCGUGGUUUAGCAUUCACAGAGUUGGUUAAAUGACAUCCUGUCGACGAACGCCAGAAACGUGUCCGAGAUCACUCAUCUAUUCAAUUCGUCUUUUCCGCAAAUAUGUAUAUGGAGUGCCUGGCGUGUGCCCAGCGCCAUCCUGGGUGAACAAGGUGAACAUCAAUGAACGAGGCAGGCGAACAUCCUGAACUUCACGGAGCUUACGUGCUACAGACAGAAGCAGAAUACGGACGUCGGAAAGCGCACGAUUCGGUCGGUUGCAGGCAUACCGUCUCGGAUCUCAGCUCCGAAUCUCAGCCUUGGGAGGGAAGGCACCUUCCAAGGGUGUUCCUUCUGGGAACUGAACUGAACUAAAAAAGCUGUUCCAAGCACCCGAAACCUCUUCCUGUGCCUUCGAACGCCCACCGCCACCGUCCACACUUACGCUCAGGAGGUGAGCCCAUCUCUGCUUUUGUCCACACCCUGGGCUCUGGCUUCAAAUGCAUGGUGGCAUCUCCAUUCUUCCCUCCUCCGUAGGAAGAGUUGUUCCUCUGAUAGUAAAGGCUCAUUUCUCCUCCUGCACUCUGAUCACCAGCAGCCAGAAUCUAUUAGAUUCUUCACGAUAUUGAAAUGCUCUGGUGUCUCCCUUAAAGUUUUUUUUUAAUGUUGAUUUAUUAUUUUUGAGACACAGAGAGAGACAGAGCAUGA